UUCUGAAGGUUGACCUCGGAUCAGGUAGGAAUACCCGCUG
RNAcentral lists this ribosomal RNA (40 nucleotides) under Fusarium dimerum. Its description in RNAcentral is "partial 28S ribosomal RNA". The record is from RNAcentral. Lineage: Eukaryota; Fungi; Ascomycota; Sordariomycetes; Hypocreales; Nectriaceae.